Long non-coding RNA from Ceratitis capitata (Mediterranean fruit fly), 577 nucleotides. RefSeq lists it as uncharacterized. The transcript is spliced from 3 exons. The record is from RefSeq and is a predicted model, not a curated record. NCBI's taxonomy places the organism in Eukaryota, Metazoa, Arthropoda, Insecta, Diptera, Tephritidae.
AUGUCAUUUUUGUCCUCAUCGAAUCCUCAUGUAUAUUUUUUGUUCUAUGUCAUUAUUCUUUCUCUCGCAGUAUGUUCAGUUCAAGGUGAUCUUGAUCCAGUAACAAAAAGAAGUAAUUUUAUUGCAAGUCCAGUAUAAAAUAGUUUCAUAUUAACUCAUACAUAUUUUAGGAAGUGUUCUCUCUUCUGAAGUAAAUUGCGCUUGACAUGGAGUACUCCCAAAUAUUCGCUUAUUUGAUAUUGAAAACGCUAAAUCACAGAGCAUCGAAACGAAAAUAAAGGAUACUCCGUAAUGGAAGGUUCCUCAAAUAUUCAUUCAUUCGCUCUAUCUUGUAGAUAUCCAUUUCAAAUAUUGUACAUGUUUCGAAAGUAUAGUGAAUGAUUCCAAAAACGAAUGCAUCUGAUUAAUUUUCAGCUGAUACUGUUUAUGUUUACCUUUUGUGAAAAGUUAAAUUAUAUGUCAAGAAGGACGGGGGAAAUUGAAUUAUUAGCUGUUUUGCGAGUUUUGGGUAUUUUCCGUCACUUUGCAAUCUGACGGCUAUUAUUAAACUGGACACAUGAAAUCGAAUCUGUCCAUA